AAGAUUCUGACCCUCGGGUCUACUUUCAGCUGUGCGCUUUGGCUGCACGCUGAUAAAUCUCAAACACCUGUGCACAUUUCGGUCGCGUUCCUGCAUGCAGGUUUGCUUCCGCCUUCACAUGCAACCACAUGUCUUGAAUGUAACAAACUAUAAAAGUAA
Molecule: unclassified non-coding RNA, 159 nt
Filed under: uncultured Basidiomycota
Lineage: Eukaryota; Fungi; Basidiomycota
Description: sequence contains ITS1
Source: RNAcentral